RNAcentral lists this ribosomal RNA (734 nucleotides) under Diplopsalopsis bomba. Its description in RNAcentral is "eukaryotic LSU rRNA". It matches the Rfam family "Eukaryotic large subunit ribosomal RNA", at positions 23 to 959 of the family's 3401-position model. Lineage: Eukaryota; Dinophyceae; Peridiniales; Diplopsaliaceae. The record is from RNAcentral.
ACCCGCUGAAUUUAAGCAUAUAAUUAAGCAGAGGAGGAUAAAUUAAAGAAGACCCCUUCAGUAACAGCGAGUGAACAAGGUCAUGAUCGCUUUGAAAAUUAGGGUUGUGGCUCUGAAUUGUAUUUCUUUAAUGCAUUGCCAACAGAGGUGCAGGUGUAGGCCUGGUGGAAAAGAGCAUCAGAGAGGGUGAAGGCCCCGUGUGUCGUCUGUGGCCUACUGUAAACGGCACGCAUGCAAAGAGUCACGCCCUUUGGGAUUGGAGCGCAAAGCAGGUGGUAGCUUUCAUCUGAAGUUGAAUAUAAGCUUGAGCCCGGUAGCAAACAAGUACCGCGAAGGAAAGGUGAAAAGGAGUUUGAAAAGAGUUUUAAACAGUGUUUGAAUUUGCUGGAGAGAAAGUGGAAUAAAUCUGAUGGUUAGGUGAGAUUGCUUUGCCCCGCCCGUCUUGAAACACGGACCAAGGAGUCUAGCACAUGUGCAAGCACUUGGGUGCAAAGUCUGUGUGCAUAAUGAAAUUGAUUGCUGGGCACCCAUAGCACUGGCAGCCAACCAAUUAUUUGGAAAGAUCUGAGCAUGAGUACAUCUGUUAGGGCCCGAAAGAUGGUGAACUAUGCUUGUGAAGGGUCAACUCAGGGGAAACUCUGAUGGAGGUCCACAGUGAUACUGACGUGCAAAUCGUUCGUCAUACAUUGGUAUAGGGGCGAAAGACUAAUCGAACUAUCUAGUAGCUGGUUCCC